Molecule: long non-coding RNA, 851 nt
Organism: Helianthus annuus (common sunflower)
Lineage: Eukaryota; Viridiplantae; Streptophyta; Magnoliopsida; Asterales; Asteraceae
Exons: 5
Source: RefSeq, a predicted model, not a curated record
CCCAAAAACGUUUUUGGAAAUUCCUGCACCCUAUUUCCCUUCCCAAUCCCAUCUGCCUCCACAAUGUUCUCCCAAAACUUGAAAAUUACAUCCACCCAAUUCACCCACUCACGAGAAUGUUGUCUACCCAAUCAUUCCCACUCACCCUCCAACUACACACCACCAGACAAUCGUUCUCUCCAACUACACACCACCGACGGACUCUGAUAAUCUCUGUACCGGCGCCUGUCAGUCAAUUCUUGCAAGAAGUCAGUCAUCUUGUUAGGGUCAAAGUUGGUUCUUUACUGUCCUUAAGUCGCAAAGUUGGAUCUAAGGGUUUAAAUUGGUGUAUACGAUAUGAGCCAUUGUCUAAAACUGUAUAGAAGGAUGCUACAUUUUCAAAUUACACGAAUCUAAUAUGAGCUUAGCAAAGAAUAAGAAAAGUAAAAUUGUGUAGGAUUGGAAAAGUAAUAAGGUCAUCGUAGAAGAUAGAUGAAGACCGCAAAACCCUAGGUAUCAUGCUUUGAUACCAUAAAGCAAGGAGAAGAGAUUGAAGAGGUCCAUGAAAGGAAAAAGGUCGAGUUCGAAGUUAUGCAAAGAGUUAUUGGCAACCAUGGAGAUAACUCUAGCUAUGGCGGGGGAACAUACAUUAUAACUUGCAUGUUAUUUCUACCGUUCCAGUUGCAAGUAUGAAUUGAAGAUGUUGAUUUUGGGUUGCAAGUAUGAAGACACUCGUUCAGGAAGUUAUUGUAUAUCACUUUCAUCUUUAAAGAUAUAUGUAUUUGUGAUACUUUGCACUUUUAUAAUUUUGUGUUACUUUGAAACCUUUGUAAUUUAUAUUCUUGGGUUAUUUUAUAAUGGUUUUGAUUUAA